UCUCCGUUGGUGAACCAGCGGAGGGAUCAUUACCGAGUUUACAACUCCCAAACCCCCUGUGAACUUAUACCUUUACACCGUUGCUUCGGCGGGUCUUCGCCCCGGGCUCCAGGCCACGCUCCCCUGCCGCCCCCCCUCCCAGGGGGGUGGGCGGGGGGCGGGUCGUCCCGGAGCCAGGCGCCCGCCGGGGGACCCAAACUCUUGUAUCUUACACCUUUUGGCAUGUCUGAGUGGAAUCAUUACAGAAUGAAUCAAAACUUUCAACAACGGAUCUCUUGGUUCUG
This 284-nucleotide unclassified non-coding RNA is filed under the name plant metagenome. Its description in RNAcentral is "partial contains small subunit ribosomal RNA, internal transcribed spacer 1, and 5.8S ribosomal RNA". The record is from RNAcentral.